This 465-nucleotide ribosomal RNA is filed under the name Vreelandella stevensii. Its description in RNAcentral is "partial 16S ribosomal RNA". It matches the Rfam family "Bacterial small subunit ribosomal RNA", at positions 338 to 795 of the family's 1533-position model. Lineage: Bacteria; Pseudomonadati; Pseudomonadota; Gammaproteobacteria; Oceanospirillales; Halomonadaceae. The record is from RNAcentral.
CCCACGGGGGGCAGCAGUGGGGAAUAUUGGACAAUGGGGGCAACCCUGAUCCAGCCAUGCCGCGUGUGUGAAGAAGGCCCUCGGGUUGUAAAGCACUUUCAGUGAGGAAGAACGCCUGGUGGUUAAUACCCAUCAGGAAAGACAUCACUCACAGAAGAAGCACCGGCUAACUCCGUGCCAGCAGCCGCGGUAAUACGGAGGGUGCGAGCGUUAAUCGGAAUUACUGGGCGUAAAGCGCGCGUAGGUGGCUUGAUAAGCCGGUUGUGAAAGCCCCGGGCUCAACCUGGGAACGGCAUCCGGAACUGUCAAGCUAGAGUGCAGGAGAGGAAGGUAGACUUCCCGGUGUAGCGGUGAAAUGCGUAGAGAUCGGGAGGAAUACCAGUGGCGAAGGCGGCCUUCUGGACUGACACUGACACUGAGGUGCGAAAGCGUGGGUAGCAAACAGGAUUAGAUACCCCGGUAGUC